AUUCCAGCUCCAAUAGCGUAUAUUAAAGCUGUUGUGGUUAAAAAGCUCGUAGUUGGAUCUCAACAGCCUUGAAGCGGUUAACUUUGUAGUUUUACUGCUUUAUAGGCUGUGCUUUUGCUGGAGGUUUGGGGGUGCUCUUGAUCGAGUGUCUCUGGAUGCCAGCAGGUUUACUUUGAAAAAAUUAGAGUGUUCAAAGCAGGCGUCGGCUUGAAUACAUUAGCAUGGAAUAAUGGAAUAGGACUUUGGUUCUAUUUUGUUGGUUUCUAGGACCGAAGUAAUGAUUAAUAGGGACAGUUGGGGGCAUUAGUAUUUAAUUGUCAGAGGUGGAAUUCUCGGAUUUGUUAAAGACUAACUUAUGCGAAAGCAUUUGCCAAGGAUGUUUUCAUCA
RNAcentral lists this ribosomal RNA (388 nucleotides) under Paracalanus sp. Its description in RNAcentral is "partial small subunit ribosomal RNA". It matches the Rfam family "Eukaryotic small subunit ribosomal RNA", at positions 582 to 975 of the family's 1831-position model. The record is from RNAcentral. Lineage: Eukaryota; Metazoa; Arthropoda; Copepoda; Calanoida; Paracalanidae.